GCUAAAGACGGGUCAGCUGCCGGUGUAAGAUUAGUGUCGCAAGGUGUAUCCGGAUUGAUUGUGCGUAAAGCGAGCGCAGGCGGUGAGUUAAGUCUGAUGUGAAAGGCUACGGCUCAACCGUAGAAUUGCAUCGGAAACUGGAUGACUUGAGGGCAGUAGAGGAGAGUGUAACUCCAUGUGUAGCGGUGAAAUGCGUAGAUAUAUGGAAGAACACCAGAGGCGAAGGCGGCUCUCUGGACUGUAACUGACGCUGAGGCUCGAAAGUGUGGGUAGCAAACAGGAUUAGAUACCCUAGUAGUC
RNAcentral lists this ribosomal RNA (300 nucleotides) under uncultured Lactobacillus sp. Its description in RNAcentral is "bacterial SSU rRNA". It matches the Rfam family "Bacterial small subunit ribosomal RNA", at positions 496 to 795 of the family's 1533-position model. Lineage: Bacteria; Bacillati; Bacillota; Bacilli; Lactobacillales; Lactobacillaceae. The record is from RNAcentral.